Molecule: long non-coding RNA, 793 nt
Organism: Microplitis demolitor
Lineage: Eukaryota; Metazoa; Arthropoda; Insecta; Hymenoptera; Braconidae
Exons: 3
Source: RefSeq, a predicted model, not a curated record
GUAUAAAUAAAAAAAAUAAAAUGAUAAAUUUAUAAAUUCACAAUUAAUGAUACUUUUAUGAAUAAUUCAAAAGAUAAAUUGAAUUAUCGCGCCGGUGAUCGUUAUAUUUCAAAUGCUUUGGGAAUAAAUUAUUGGAAACUUCCGGGUGCUGUAAAUUAAUUACAAAAAUAUAAGUGACAAGAAUGUUUAUAAAAAAGUUUAAAAAAAGGAGCGGGAGCUACAGAGUGAAAAAAUACGACAGAUGCGAUUUCAAUCGGAUUGAAAAAUCUCUUGGGAACCAGAAGUAAUUCAAUCGAUCUUCGAUACUCGUAAGCUUUUCUAGGGUGGAAAGACCUCGUCCGAUGCACGGAGAACAAGUUACACUAUCAAGUGGAAAAAAGACCGAUAAAGAAGGAGAUAAAGUACUAAGUUUCUUCCUCCAUACUGUAUGCGUUAUUGGUGAAAAUUAAUGGCCAUUAAAUGGCAUGACAGCAUCAAGAGGUAUGGAACCUGAAUUAUGUCAUCAUCCUUUCUUUAUACCAACCGAGUAAGAGAUUUCAGAUGACCCGGUAGACAAACACAUACUCAAAAAAAAAAGAGUUUCGUCCUCAUAAUGAAAGAUGGGAUAAGAUACUUUUUUUAUAGUGACGAAAAUUAUAAGCUUACAGUAACAAAUGGCAUUAUUGUAAUUAUGAAUGAGAUUGAAGUCAUUAAGUCUUAGUAGGAGAGCUAUUAGCAUCAAAAAUGGUCCAAAACAGGCCAAAAACGCCAAUUUUGGCCACAGAAUCUUAGAAAAAAAUAUCAAAUUAUAAAA